AGCAACUCACUCUCAGCCUGUCCCCUCCCCAGGGUGUGAAUGAGGACAGUGGCUUGGCAUAAGGAGUAGCUGGCAUCCAAGCCCCCACAGACCUCUCCUGGACUGUAGCUGACACAAAGAUGAGAUGUUGGCCACCGUCACUUCUAUUUUGAUCAAAAUUGCCAGUCUAGAGGGCAAGUCCCUGCAUGAGAAGACAGCAAGCAACUUCUGCCUUCCUGUCCACAGGAGAUAAAUGAGAUAAAUGCGGUUCUCACUCAUCAAAGAAGCCCCUCUUUACAAUAGAUAGAGACCAUUGAAGAAGACACAGCUGGUACAGAGGAGUAGAACCUGUUGUGGGAUGUCCAGCCUGAUCGAUACAUCUACAAUACAACUCCUACAUCUUAAACCUCAAGAAACAUCGCAGAACAGGAGCCAGAAAGACUGCAAGAGCCAAAGGACCAGGAAAACUGCUGACUGGGUGUGUCUCCUAGACAUGACAGGGAAGCUUCCCGUGAUACCCAAAGACAUGGCUACCGAAUAAAAGACGACACCAACGGACACUCUAAAACGGAAGGGGGAGUCUCACAGGGCUUCAUCUGAAAACCAACUAUAGGCAACCAGUGUCAACUGCAAGAUGGAAUAUUAGUCCUUCCAUGGGUGAGUCACCUAACGGAUUUUCUUCCUGAAAUCAUGUGCAUACAUAUGUAAUAAUAACAAUUAAAGGAAAAGGUCAUGAAUCUGAGAGAGAACAAGAAGGGGCAAAGGGGAGACGAAGGGAAGAGAAAGAAGAGAGGAGUGAUGUAGCUGAAUUUUAAAAUCUCACCUUUUUAAAUUACAAAAUAAAUCUUUGGAAAAAAAGAAACUAUUCAAGGAUACAUGAAAAUUAGUUAUGGCAGUUUAUUUUGGGGCAGGAGCCAGGAGCUAGACCACUUGGAGAAUGCCUGUAUUCCUUUUGUGUGUGAUGUAAAUACACAGCAUCAAAACCAUGACACCGCCUUGUCUAUCUCCCUCAGGAAGCCACCUGCUCCCUGAAUCAAGGGACUGUGUGUUGCACUCAGUCAUCUCUUCAAACCUGAGCUCAAGAUCUGAAGUAGCCAUUGUGGCUGGUUGGGCUUUACUGGAGAGUAAAUUAAUGGAUGAACAAAUGCAGUAUAGGACAAUAGGAAGGAUGAAGCUUGGGUUAGGACUGAAAGGGACUUCUUAUCUGCAACUCAAGGCAGCUUGCAUCUAUCCACCUAUCCAUCUACCCAUCCAUCUCAUGCUUACACGCUGAUACUUGCUUUUGAACCCAGAGGGUGACAUAAUCCCUAAAUGGAGGAACUCUUACUCCAAACAAUCUGUGUGCUGUUCUUCAUUGGGGGCAAGUCUCAAUUGAUUCCAGCACUCCCUAAGCCACUCUGGGGAAUACAGAGAUGAUGAAGACACAGCCCUCGCUUGGCGCCUAGUAUUCACUCUCCUGAUCUGUAAAACGGGGGCAGGCAUCUUCCCCACACCAAAAUUGUGGUGUUGUAAUGAUGAACUAAAGUGCUCCCCCAGAGGGGUCCUGACUGGGACCCCGGGCUCGCAUCAGAUUAUUCUUACGUGAGAAUCUCAGCCCACCCUGUAGGAAGCUGGAUGCAUCCCCACAACCCAGUACACAGAGUCCCACUUCUCUGAGCUGUAUCACAAGGGCCACCCUUCUGGGUAGGAAGAGCGCUUGCUGCAGGGCACCUGACGUACACCUAGGUCCCAGCAGACUGCCUGGCUAAAAGUAGACAUCAGUGGGUUUGCAAAAGGCAUAAUGGGAAAAAACCUGAACAUUUUUAGUGAAGUGAGAACCGUUCCACCACUGCAAAAGUACUAAUAAAACACACGGUGAAUUAACUGAAGCAGUGGCUGACCAGCAGGUCCCUUCAAGAUCAAAAUGGAGAGCUAAAGUCAGGGGACACUCUCCCUGCCAAACAGCAAAUGGACUUGAAGGGGACCAGUGAACAGAGAGAAGCACAUAUGGAUGAAGAUAUUUUGUCUCAGCCAAUGCCUCAGGGUGGCCUUUUGUCUCCGCUACAUAUUUGACCCAUUUGGACUCAGGACCAAAGGAUUCACACCAAUGUGCCUUGAACCCAGAAAGGAAAGAGAAGCUCUGAGCAUCUGACCAUAAACACUGUCACACCGACUCCCUAGGCUUUGAACAAAGGAAAGACCAGGACACCUGUCAUUUCUCAGUGGGUUCAGGGUCUCCCAUGUUUAACCUAGAUCUACUGUUGUUACCAGCUGGGGUUACCCCCACUGCUAACACUUGAGACCUAGCCCUCCCCUGCAGCAGCCUGGGAGACCCCUGCGAUCUCUGCUUUGUCUGCCUUGAGUGAUUGCAGGGCACUAGAGCUCCCUCGCACCUGGCUUCCUUCAGAGCUGGCUUCUCGUUGCUGUCUGGGUAGUUAGCACUGUGUAAUUUAGUUUGCCGGUGUCUCUGCAAGCUUAUUUGAAAACCAUGGAAGACUGCUUACAGAAAAUUAAGCUUCAUUUUCUUUAAGCAUCCAGCCAACAGUGCAGGCAGGGGAUGGUGAUGUGGAGAUAACUGGUUUCUGCAUAUGUAAACAUGAUGCAUUUAGCAAAUUACGCAGACUUCACACUUCAGAGCAUUGAAGAAAACAAAGGUGUCUUCCAGGACAACUUCAGCGCAAUAGAGCCAUUCUGAAAGGGAUGCAGAAUUAUUGGCUUGUAAGAAGAAUGGAGCUCAGACAGGGAUGGAAAAUAACAGUUUAUAGUGUGAAGCAUGGGCAGAAACAAGAAUUGGAACAGGUCUAAUUUUAAGUGGUUUUAUGGCAACUCUAAGGACUCCUAGGAAUUAUAGAUUGUACGUGUUUUGAGAUUGAAUUCACAGUAGGAAGAGGUUGUACACUUCAGACUCAAUUCCACUAUGACUCCUUGAGCUUCACACAAUUUCCCAGUACAUGUUUUUCUCCUUGGGCCCAGAGAGAUAAAUUCUAGGUCUGCCCUAAGCUAAAAAGCAUUUUGAUAGGAAAAGCAGUCCUGCAAUCUAUGGGAUUUUGUUUCCAUUCUCCACCAGGACCCGUUACCCCAGUCCCUUCUCCUACCUCAUCACCCACAAAUUAUGCCUGGAAGUGUAAUUAAAAGCUUUGC
This is a long non-coding RNA of Mesocricetus auratus (golden hamster), 3099 nucleotides long. RefSeq lists it as uncharacterized. Lineage: Eukaryota; Metazoa; Chordata; Mammalia; Rodentia; Cricetidae. The transcript has 2 exons. The record is from RefSeq and is a predicted model, not a curated record.